GGAGAGAUGGCUCAGUGGUUAAGAGCACUGACUGCUCUUCCAGAGGUCCUGAGUUCAAAUCCCAGCAACCACG
Molecule: transfer RNA, 73 nt
Filed under: Mus musculus (house mouse)
Lineage: Eukaryota; Metazoa; Chordata; Mammalia; Rodentia; Muridae
Description: tRNA-Ser
Source: RNAcentral